UUAAAACAAAUAAUAUGUAAAAUAAAGCCAACUUUUAUAUACAAUUAGGAUAUUUUGCCCUAAUUUUAUUCUUUUUUUUUUUUUGGUCCAAGCACCGGAGGGAUGCCACAUCCUGGCGUGGCACCGAAACGGCGACACGCUGACCACAUCUCUUGCUCGGCAGCUACAGCAGCGCAGCAUUAUCAUCAGCCUCCAUCGUUGGUGUCUGUCGAUGAAGGUCACAGGGAGAAACUAUAAAGGCGAAAAUUGGGCGCUCGCCGCAUUAUUUCACUCGAAAUGCAGACGCGCGUGGUGCUCUCCGUGUUCCUCCUUGUUGUGCUCGUCGGCGCCCAGGCCGGGCCCAUCUUCAGCUCGCAGGGCCUCCUCGGCUUCCUGCAGCCCUCCGCGGCCACCAAGCGGCCGGCGGCCACCAGCGGCCAACGCCAGGGCCGCAGCCGGUAUGACCAACUGUGCAAGGCGCACAACUUUGACCCCUACGCCUUCCCCGGACGGGCCCCUUAUCCCUCCGGACCACUUUGCUCCUACGCUGGGUGAAUCGGACUCGCUUCUGCAGUUCUUCUUGUGCCAUAACUGAUAUUUUACUUGCGUAAGACUUUUCAAAACUAUCAGCCUGACUGACGACGAGGAGAGGAUUUCGUCCGAGAAUGGACGUGCAAUUUUUGCGGUCUCGCUUGCGUUGUUUUUUAUGACUCGAUCGUGCUCCAGUGAGUUCAGUGUGAAAUUUUAGUUGUGUAGGGAACUUUUGUGUUCUUCUUAGUCAUUAAAAUUGAAUAAUUUUUUAACAUAAAAAUGUGAUUUACAUGUAAUAAAAAAAAAUUAUAAAGAGUUUGAACAAA
This is a long non-coding RNA of Neocloeon triangulifer, 836 nucleotides long. RefSeq lists it as uncharacterized. NCBI's taxonomy places the organism in Eukaryota, Metazoa, Arthropoda, Insecta, Ephemeroptera, Baetidae. The record is from RefSeq and is a predicted model, not a curated record. The transcript is spliced from 2 exons.